Molecule: ribosomal RNA, 711 nt
Filed under: Dietelia duguetiae
Lineage: Eukaryota; Fungi; Basidiomycota; Pucciniomycetes; Pucciniales; Pucciniaceae
Description: eukaryotic LSU rRNA
Rfam family: 5.8S ribosomal RNA (bases 223-376)
Source: RNAcentral
GUGAACCUGCGGAAGGAUCAUUAUUGAAAAAAUGAGUGCACUUAAUUGUGACUCAAAAUUCAAAAUUUUAAAAAACCCUUACCUUAUUACAUGUUUCUUUAUUAGAUACAUAGUAAUUUGGUAUACGUAACUUUAGUUUAGAAAUAAACUUUAGUUGCAUUACCCCCCUUACUUUUUGUUUUAAAAACUUGUCUUAAGAAUGUAAAACCUUUAAAAUAAUAUAACUUUUAACAAUGGAUCUCUAGGCUCUCACAUCGAUGAAGAACACAGUGAAAUGUGAUAAGUAAUGUGAAUUGCAGAAUUCAGUGAAUCAUCGAAUCUUUGAACGCACCUUGCACCUUUUGGUAUUCCAAAAGGUACACCUGUUUGAGUGUCAUGAAAACUAAUCAUUAUGAAAUUUUUUUAUGAAGAUUUUUUAAUGGAUGUUGAGUGUUGCUGUAAUUAGCUCACUUUAAAUAUAUAAGUUUUUUUCUUACUAAAAAUUUGGAUUGACUUAAUGUGAUAUAUUAUCUUCAUUAAGGAUUGUAUCUUUUGAUACUGCCAUAUUAACUCAUUAGUAUUGAAAUUGCUUCUAACUUGUCUAUUAAUGACAUAAUCUUUAAGACCUCAAAUCAGGUGGGACUACCCGCUGAACUUAAGCAUAUCAAUAAGCGGAGGAAAAGAAACUAACAAGGAUUCCCCUAGUAACGGCGAGUGAAGAGGGAAAAGCCC